GACAGAGGAGGCAAGCGUUGUUCGGAAUUAUUGGGCUUAAAGCGCGUGUAGGCGGCCGGGUAAGUGAUUUGUGAAAGUCCAAGGCUCAACCGGGGAAUUGCAGGGCAUACUGGGCGGCUUGAGGUCGGUAGAGGUAGCCGGAACUCUAGGUGGAGCGGUGAAAUGCGUAGAUAUCUAGAGGAACGCCGGAGGCGAAAGCGGGCCACUGGGCCUAUUCUGACGCUGAGACGCGAAAGCGUGGGUAGCAAACAGG
This 253-nucleotide ribosomal RNA is filed under the name uncultured bacterium. RNAcentral describes it as "partial 16S ribosomal RNA". It matches the Rfam family "Bacterial small subunit ribosomal RNA", at positions 524 to 776 of the family's 1533-position model. The record is from RNAcentral.